UACGGGGGGGGCAAGCGUUGUUCGGAAUUACUGGGCGUAAAGGGCUCGUAGGUGGCCAACUAAGUCAGACGUGAAAUCCCUCGGCUUAACCGGGGAACUGCGUCUGAUACUGGAUGGCUUGAGUUUGGGAGAGGGACGCGGAAUUCCAGGUGUAGCGGUGAAAUGCGUAGAUAUCUGGAGGAACACCGGUGGCGAAGGCGGCGUCCUGGACCAACACUGACGCUGAGGAACGAAAGCUAGGGGAGCAAACAGG
Molecule: ribosomal RNA, 253 nt
Filed under: uncultured bacterium
Lineage: Bacteria
Description: partial 16S ribosomal RNA
Rfam family: Bacterial small subunit ribosomal RNA
Source: RNAcentral